RNAcentral lists this ribosomal RNA (553 nucleotides) under Aureobasidium pullulans. RNAcentral describes it as "eukaryotic LSU rRNA". It matches the Rfam family "Eukaryotic large subunit ribosomal RNA", at positions 75 to 643 of the family's 3401-position model. Lineage: Eukaryota; Fungi; Ascomycota; Dothideomycetes; Dothideales; Saccotheciaceae. The record is from RNAcentral.
UUGCCCUAGUAACGGCGAGUGAAGCGGCAACAGCUCAAAUUUGAAAGCUAGCCUUCGGGUUCGCAUUGUAAUUUGUAGAGGAUGAUUUGGGGAAGCCGCCUGUCUAAGUUCCUUGGAACAGGACGUCAUAGAGGGUGAGAAUCCCGUAUGUGACAGGAAAUGGCACCCUAUGUAAAUCUCCUUCGACGAGUCGAGUUGUUUGGGAAUGCAGCUCUAAAUGGGAGGUAAAUUUCUUCUAAAGCUAAAUAUUGGCGAGAGACCGAUAGCGCACAAGUAGAGUGAUCGAAAGAUGAAAAGCACUUUGGAAAGAGAGUUAAAAAGCACGUGAAAUUGUUGAAAGGGAAGCGCUUGCAAUCAGACUUGUUUAAACUGUUCGGCCGGUCUUCUGACCGGUUUACUCAGUUUGGACAGGCCAGCAUCAGUUUCGGCGGCCGGAUAAAGGCUCUGGGAAUGUGGCCUCCACUUCGGUGGAGGUGUUAUAGCCCAGGGUGUAAUACGGCCAGCCGGGACUGAGGUCCGCGCUUCGGCUAGGAUGCUGGCGUAAUGGUUGUAA